GUGAGGGUGUCUCUGGAAGAUACUUGAAUCACAGGACUGAAUAAGGAAGAGCUGCCCUCAGCGUGGCCGGGCAACAUCUAAUCGGCUGAAAGCUUGGAUCGAAUGAAAAGGCAGAGGAAAGGUUCUGAAGACCUCAAAUGGACUGAGCCACACUACCAGCAUCCAGCAUCCAUGGUUCUCCAGUCUGCAGAUGGCCUAUUAUGGGACUUUUCAGUCUUCAUAAUUAUAUGAGAGAAAGAAAAUGAAAAGGAUUUGUAAACUAUAAAUCUCUAAACAGAUGGGAGGAAAGGAAUUGAUGAAACAAUAAAUUUAUUGAUGAAACAAUAAAAAUAAACAUAAAGAACCAAAGUUAUUCUCACAAUCACCACUCCUAACUUUUGAUGCUCCUGUCCAGAAAACUGAGCAAAAGAGUGGCUGAAGAAUAGGAAUGAUGAAGAGAAGAAGUAAAAACACCUGUUGAAUAUCACUUUGGGCAAUUCACCUUCAUACCUGACACCUUCACACAUCCUUUACUGGUUCUUCAAAUUUAAUAUUCAACAAAUAAACGCUUGCUGCCACUAU
RNAcentral lists this long non-coding RNA (561 nucleotides) under Homo sapiens (human). Its description in RNAcentral is "HSALNT0312119". Lineage: Eukaryota; Metazoa; Chordata; Mammalia; Primates; Hominidae. The record is from RNAcentral.